RNAcentral lists this ribosomal RNA (702 nucleotides) under Teichospora viticola. Its description in RNAcentral is "eukaryotic LSU rRNA". It matches the Rfam family "Eukaryotic large subunit ribosomal RNA", at positions 50 to 776 of the family's 3401-position model. Lineage: Eukaryota; Fungi; Ascomycota; Dothideomycetes; Pleosporales; Teichosporaceae. The record is from RNAcentral.
GCGGAGUAGACAACAGGGAUUGCCCUAGUAACGGCGAGUGAAGCGGCAACAGCUCAAAUUUGAAAUCUGGCCCCCUCGGGGUCCGAGUUGUAAUUUGCAGAGGGUGCUUUGGUGUUGGCUGUGGUCCAAGUUCCCUGGAACAGGACGUCGCAGAGGGUGAGAACCCCGUACGUGGCCGCCAGCCUUCGCCGUGUAAAGCCCCUUCGAAGAGUCGAGUUGUUUGGGAAUGCAGCUCUAAAUGGGAGGUAAAUUCCUUCUAAAGCUAAAUAUUGGCCAGAGACCGAUAGCGCACAAGUAGAGUGAUCGAAAGAUGAAAAGCACUUUGGAAAGAGAGUGAAACAGCACGUGAAAUUGUUGAAAGGGAAGCGCUUGGAGCCAGACGUGCCCGUAGUUGCUCAGCCGGGGUUUUCCCCGGUGCACUCUUCUGCGGGCAGGCCAGCAUCAGUUUGGGCGGUCGGACAAAAGCCUGCUAAACGUACCUCCCCCCGGGGAGGACUUAUAGGGUAGGUGGCAUACGACCAGCCCGGACUGAGGACCGCGCAUCUGCUAGGAUGCUGGCGUAAUGGCUGUAAGCGGCCCGUCUUGAAACACGGACCAAGGAGUCUAAAAUCUAUGCGAGUGUUUGGGUGUCAAGCCCGAGCGCGCAAUGAAAGUGAACGCAGGUGGGAACCCCUCGGGGUGCACCAUCGACCGAUCCUGAUG